This 226-nucleotide long non-coding RNA is filed under the name Vigna radiata. RNAcentral's name for it is "long non-coding RNA (VRAD_LNC015224)". Lineage: Eukaryota; Viridiplantae; Streptophyta; Magnoliopsida; Fabales; Fabaceae. The record is from RNAcentral.
UAAAAUGGGGUGGGAGAUUGCUGCAGUCGGUUCUCAAUGUUACCAACUUGUGCUUCUAGGUCGUCCAAUCUUGUACCAACGUAGGUCUGGAGUUGGUCAAUGCGUUGUAUGACAUCAUCUAGUGUUGUAGAAGAACUUGGUUGAUCAUUAUGCUGCACUUGUCCACGUUGGUGAUACCUCCGACCACAUUGCCACUUAGACUCAGUGCACUAGUGAUACCUCCGAC